GAACGCCUUGACCCGGCGGGAGCCGGGCGCGCGCUGCCCGGCCUCGCUCCCCCGCGCGGUCGCGGACACGGAGGGGCGGCGGUGAGGAAGCCGCGAGCCGCCAGGCGGAUUCCUGGGUGCAGAGCGCCGUGAGCAAGGGCCAGAGCGGCCGGGGCCCUGGCUGCCGGGGCGACCUGCCCGAGGAUUUUAUUUAUUCAUGAGAGACACACAGAGAGAGGCCGAGACACAGGCAGAAGGAGAAGCAGGCUCCAUGCAGGGAGCCCGACGUGGGACUCGAUCCCGGGACUCCACGAUCAUGCUCUGGGCCGAAGGCAGCCGCUAAACCGCUGAGCCACUCAGGGAUCCCCGAGUCACAGAGAGAGAGAGAGAGGCAGAGACACAGGCAGAGGGAGAAGCAGGCUCCAUGCACCGGGAGCCCGAUGUGGGAUUCGAUCCCGGGUCUCCAGGAUCGCGCCCUGGGCCAAAGGCAGGCGCCAAACCGUUGCGCCACCCAGGGAUCCCCCAAGAAACCUCAAUUUAAUGAACAACCCCUGCUGUCUGCUUUCCUGAUGCCUUGAGUAUAUGCCCACUUGCCCUGUGUCCCAUCUUUUCCUGCUGUCAACUUCGACAUAACAUGUGAUGUGUGUGAUGUCAAGGUCAUUAUGGACCGAGGAAGAUGGGCCUCAAAAAAUAGAGAACUUGAAAUUGGCAGAAGUCUCAUCAGACAUCUGUUAGCACCUGUUAAAAAGAAAACCACAGGCCCCAGAUGGUGUCAUUUAGACAACAGUUCCCAAAUUGGGGCUUAAUACCAGAUCUAAUUGUGGUUUCAACCUCCCCCAGAAAUGUAGUCUUAACUGGUCAGGGUUUUUUUCUGUCAGGGCCAACGAGUCUGCCACAAGGGCUCUCUCAGUCCCCCAAAGGGAGAUGAGGUCAUGUUCAGGGUAAGACCCCCUACUUCUCCCCCAAAGGGAAAUCCUUGCCUGGAACAAUCCUGUUUGUCUGCUAAUAACUUUCUUGCCCCCACCCUCCUUCUACAUAAACUUUCCAUUUUGUGCAAUUCCUCUUCUUGCUAGAUGGGAUGUUGCCCGACUCAGGAAUCAUUCAACAAGGCCAAUUCGAUCUGUAAAAUGUACCGGUUGGAUUUUUGUUAUUUAACACAACUUUGUGAUUCCAAGGGCUGAGGAGACAAGGGUGAAAACAGAAUAUGGUCCUGCUGUUCUAAUAAUUAACAGUGGGGACAGAUGCUGUGGAAAUGAACUAAUGUGAGUUUGCUCCUUGGUGAGUCUCAGGUACGGACUACACCGCGUGGAAUUGUCACACAAAGGAUACUUUAUCUACAGCAAAUCAGAGAUCAUGGAGAAUAACAUCCAAAGUUGUGACUCACUGAGUAAGGGUGAGUGGGUAUCUUUUAUUUGGGGUUAGGAUGAAGAUUCAGAAAGGGGUAGUUUGUCAUCAUAUGUAAAAAUGGGCAUAGAGUUGCACAGGUAUGCUUAGAAAACAUGCCUAUACACACAUCCUGUGUUAUGUGAAUGAAGCUUGUCCUCCUUUUUGGGUGGGGAUUUUAACAUUAUAAUGAGGUAGAGGUGCCUGGGAUACUCCCUGGCCCAUCACACAGGUAUGAGUCAGUGGUCGAGCUCAAAAUGAUCUAGGUCACUGGAGCUCUUCUUAAUUGCCUCUCAAAGAUGAAGUUAACAUUCCUGUGAAGAAGGGGGCUAGGAGGGGUCUUGCUGGUGACAGGUUUAACCUCAUUAACCCUAUGGGGCACAGUUUCAGAAAGAUUGCUAAAAAGUAUGAAACUGCUUAGGAAAACACUCCGGCAGUUGAUCAAACAGCUAAACAUAAAAUUCUCAUAUGACCCAGCAAUUCCACUCCUAGGUAUCUACCCAAGAGAACCGAAGACACAUGUCCACACAAAAGACCUGUACACAAAUGUGCAUAGCAGUUUUAUUCAUGGGAUCAAACAGUGGAAGUGGUCCAAGUGAUCACCAGCUGGAGAAUGGCUAAGCACAAUGUGGUCUAUCCAUACAAUGAUAUGAUGACCAAGCAAUAAACAGCAAUAAAAGCAAAUGAAGUGUGGCUACACACUGUACAGCAUGGAUGACUCUCGGGAAUAUUAUGUUAAGUGAAAGAGGAUCACAUACUGUAUGGAUUCCACUUAUAUUUAAAUGUCCAGAAUAGGCAAAUCCAUUGACACCAGAUUAGUAGUUCUUAAGGGCUGAGACGGGAGGGAGGAAUGCGGAGGGACUGCUAAUGGGUAGGGGACCUCUUUAUAGGGAGAUGAAAAUGUUCUGCAAGUGGAUAGUGGUGACAGCUGCUCAGCUUUGUGAAUAUGCUGAAAAUGUUUGCAUUUAUAAUAUUAUAAUUUUAUAAUAUGCUUCAAAUGAGUACAUUGUGUAGUGUCUGAAUUACAUCUCAGGAAAGCCGUUAUUAUUAUUAUUUUUUAAACUACUGAAAUUGCAGUUCACACAGGAUGCUGGGCAGGACAGAGGAGGGCCACCAACCCCCUUGAGGGUUCAUGGAGAACUUCCUGUGUUCUUUGCACCGAUAUUAGUAUUGCAUGUCUAUGUGGCUUCCUGGAGGCCGUGCUGGGUGUUAUUAGCCACAAAAACCUCUUUCAGUUUCAUAUAGGAGCCAUCCAAGUAUGAGCAUUCCCUGGUUUUGUUUGGCAAAUCCAAUCUGUUGUCACUUUUUAAGACUGUGUUUUCUAAAAAAAAAAAAAAAAAAAAAAAAAAA
Molecule: long non-coding RNA, 2712 nt
Filed under: Canis lupus familiaris (dog)
Lineage: Eukaryota; Metazoa; Chordata; Mammalia; Carnivora; Canidae
Description: lncRNA (ENSCAFG00000055413.1)
Source: RNAcentral